AGAAGCAUGAGUCAACUGGAGCAGCGGCCCUGUGAGAGAGCGGAUCGCAGGCAGCACGGAGGGCCCCGUGGAGUCUGGCGGUCAUGAAUUUAUGGUGGCACCAGUCUGCGAGGUCAUCUGAUUUUCUCAAGCAGAGUUCAGCAGCCCAGGUGGACAAAGAGCUCAGAAACUGUGGCAUGAUCCGAGUGAAAAAGAAAAAUACCAAUCAGAGGGAAGGUGUGGCUUCACUCUUGGCAGAGACAGAGGAUAACAGCAGGUCACGAAGAGUCUUGGCUUAUACCCUGCGGCAUUCCAGUCUCCAGGUGAGAAAUUAUGGGAACUGUCACGCCAAAUCAGCUGGUCGCCCUUAUGUCAUGGGAUCCGGACCAGGAGAAGAAGGCUGGCCGGGCGGAGUGCAUGUGAUCAGCGUGUGACAGGCCGUGCAUCCAGCCUACUGAUGGCACUGACUCUCCUGGCCCAAAUAACCACAAAAAGGAACAGAUUUCAGACAGGCAGUUUUACAGCGUCCCUGUGGUUACUUUGCCAACUUCCAGCGACUUCUUUCUCUAGCACUGAGCCGAAGACACACGUAACCAUUAUCAAAAUGUGCUGAAUAUAUAGGUCACUCCGUUUUAGUUAUCUUUAAUCUGAGAUGUAUCGAUUUACCUUUCCACACCAAUCCACUCAAUUUACGUUUAGCUCAAGCUUUCAAAUUAAUUGCAUCCUGAAUUUAAAAAACAAAACAAAACAAAACAGGUUAGGGAGGUGAAGACCGCUAAAAGGGUGUUGUCUUUUCUUCUCUGUCGCUGGAAAGAUUGAGAUGACCGGCUUUUCCAGAGAGCCUUUAAAAGGUUUUUCGUUGUAGCCACGGCCAGUUGUGAUAUUUUCCCCAAACUCUCAUCUGUAGCACCUGCUGCGAAUGUUUCACUUUCUGUGGUUUUUAUUUAAAAUUUCUCCAUCACGUUU
This is a long non-coding RNA of Felis catus (domestic cat), 945 nucleotides long. RefSeq lists it as uncharacterized. The record is from RefSeq and is a predicted model, not a curated record. NCBI's taxonomy places the organism in Eukaryota, Metazoa, Chordata, Mammalia, Carnivora, Felidae. The transcript is spliced from 3 exons.